This is a long non-coding RNA of Scleropages formosus (Asian bonytongue), 303 nucleotides long. RefSeq lists it as uncharacterized. NCBI's taxonomy places the organism in Eukaryota, Metazoa, Chordata, Actinopteri, Osteoglossiformes, Osteoglossidae. The transcript has 3 exons. The record is from RefSeq and is a predicted model, not a curated record.
UCAGACUCCAAAUAGAAAACCUCCUGAAGGAGCGCAGUGCUAACUUGACACAGUUGGCUCUGGACAGAACGCAGCUCUACGUUGCUGUGACUGUCAUCGACAUCGCCAGUGGAGAACUGCAGGAAGCAGAAGUUUUCAUUCCCAUUGUUUCUCAGAGAUUCUCUGUGGACUUGUCUCGCACACGGUCCUACUUCAUUCCUGGGGUGCCCUUCCACGUCUCGGCUGUGGUUCACCUCCCAGAUGGCUCUCCAGCAGCGAAUGUCCCUGUGGAUGUUCAUGUGACUGGUUCUUCAGCGAAACCCC